AGCUCCAAUAGCGUAUAUUAAAGUUGUUGCAGUUAGAACGCUCGUAGUCGGAUUUCGGGGCGGUCCGACCGGUCUGCCGAUGGGUACGCACUGGUCGGAGCGUCCUUUUUGCCGGAGACCGUGCCUACUCUUAACUGAGCGGGGGCGGGAGACGGCACUUUUACUUUGAAAAAAUCAGAGUGUUUCAAGCAGGCAGCUCGCUCUUGCAUGGAUUAGCAUGGGAUAAUGAAAUAGGACUUUGGUGCUAUUUUGUUGGUUUCGAACACCGAAGUAAUGAUGAGAAGGGACAGUCAGGGGCACUCGUAUUCCGCAGAGAGAGGUGAAAUUCUCAGACCCGCGGAAGACGAACCACUGCGAAAGCAUUUGCCAGGGAUGUUUUCACUG
Molecule: ribosomal RNA, 384 nt
Filed under: Chrysochromulina sp.
Lineage: Eukaryota; Haptophyta; Prymnesiales; Chrysochromulinaceae
Description: partial small subunit ribosomal RNA
Rfam family: Eukaryotic small subunit ribosomal RNA
Source: RNAcentral